AACGCACAUUGCGCCCCUUGGUAUUCCGAGGGGCAUGCCUAUUCGAGCGUCAUUAUCACCCCUCAAGCCUAGCUUGGUGUUGAGACCUGCUGUCAAGGCAGUCUCUAAAAUCAGUGGCAGUGCUGUCAGGCUCUAAGCGUAGUAAAUUCAUCGCUAUAGACACCUGGUGGCCACUCGCCAGAACCCCCCCCAUUUUUUAAUGAUUGACCUCGGAUUAGGUAGGGAUACCCGCUGAACUUAA
RNAcentral lists this unclassified non-coding RNA (241 nucleotides) under uncultured Ascomycota. RNAcentral's name for it is "sequence contains ITS2". The record is from RNAcentral. Lineage: Eukaryota; Fungi; Ascomycota. RNAcentral also lists the same sequence under 1 other name.